GUUUGAGCUGAUUUCAACUUCAAUUUUUAAAGUUAUGGCAUUUUUAAAUUGGCCAUUUGUCAUGUUUCCUGAUCUCUAGACUAAUAAUCUACUAAAGAAGGAACUUGCUGAGGUUGAGAUUGAAGUGAAUCGACUAAAGAGACAAGUACACGAGGAAAUGAGAGCAGACGAAGUGAGAGAAGAAACAAAAGUCAAACUAGAAACACAAACCCAACUAGUGACCGUCUUCAAUGAGCAUACAGAGCACUGCAGAUACAGGUCGUACAGUUGCAGAAUCAAGUGAAGCAAUUAGGCGGGAAAUUGGAGUGAGACAGGCCAGUCACUCGACCACCUAUGCCAGAGCUACCUUUAAAAGAUGUAUCUUUUGAUGCCCAGCAUCAAAAGACUUAAAUUUUUAA
Long non-coding RNA from Amphimedon queenslandica, 398 nucleotides. RefSeq lists it as uncharacterized. Lineage: Eukaryota; Metazoa; Porifera; Demospongiae; Haplosclerida; Niphatidae. The transcript has 3 exons. The record is from RefSeq and is a predicted model, not a curated record.